Non-coding RNA from Anas platyrhynchos (mallard), 3691 nucleotides. The record is from RefSeq and is a predicted model, not a curated record. NCBI's taxonomy places the organism in Eukaryota, Metazoa, Chordata, Aves, Anseriformes, Anatidae.
CGCCUCCCUCCUCUACACCCCUCUUUCCGACUUUUUAGCAAUUUAACGUUUCAAUCUCUGGGCUGGAACACACAACCUUUCACCAGAGCACGGGGCGGGGGGGGGGAGAGAAACGAAGCAGAAAAAAACUGCGGAUGAGGCAGAGGGACCAGCUUUGCCCCAGCACCCGCCACAAAUGCCCAGGCGAUUUUUCUCAGCAGCGGAAAAGCCCCGUGCUUAACAAAACUAUCCAGAGAUUCACGAUGCGAGGGGAAAAAGCCGGAGCUGCCCGAGCGCCGCGCAUCUCCCCUGUACGCUCCCACGGUGCCCGGCCGGAUCCAGCCCCGCUUCCCUUUGCUCUUUGUCCCGCCGGGGGGUUAGCAAACCCCUCUCGCUUGGUCAAAGCUCGUCCCAACCCUCGCCCCCCCCGGGGAGCCGGCAUUUUGCAGGUGGGGUCGGGGCAGGACCCCCUCCCCCCAAAACCGAGCAUCCCCCCCCCCCCCCCUACACCCGGCGGGGGCAGCUGCGCGGAAAGUGGAGCUCUUGGGAGGAAUUUUCAAGCCCUCCACCCCACCCUCGCAACACCCACGACCCCCUCGCCUGGAGGGAGGAAAAUAGGGAAAGAAAGGAUGGGUGCUGCAACAGCCCUGCGGAGGCUGCCCCUGCCCCAGGGCACCUCCUGUCCCCGCUGCCUCCCCCCCCGGUCGGAUCCAGCCGGAGGAGGCCGCUCCCGUCCCGUCUCAUUUGGGCUCACCCCAAACCUGGGGAAAGGAAAUGCCGGUCGCCACUUGCAGUGCAGUCGGGCCGGUUUUAUUUUUUUUUUUCAUUCCCCCCCCCACACACACCCCCCGCCUUUUUUUUUUUCCAGCAGCAUCAACAACAAAAAUACUCCAACGCCGUACAUGCAGGCAGAGUAAACUCAGCCCGGUACUGUUCUUUUUUUACUGUCCUUUUGUUCCCGGCGGGGCGGAUGAGGGGGUUGGGCCCCCCUCAACCCCGUCCCCCCCACCUUGCGGGACGGGGUGCAGCCCUCCCUUCCUUUCGGUGAAGCGGGGCAGUGAUAAAAGGAGACAGGGCUCUGAAAGGCUUUGAUUGAAAUGGCGUGUGCCAAGCUGAUGGGAGCCAGCGAGGGACAAAGCGGCGAGGAGCCAUGGACACUCGAGCAAUUAUUCCUCCACGCUGAAGGUGGAUUAGUGCAAUGGAAAGAAGCAUAUGUUCGGCCUGGGGCGACACUCCCCCCGGCUGGGUUUAGAGAAUGAGAGCAGAGAAAGAGGCUGAACCUGGAAUAUCAACUAUCCGGGAGACAGCCCUCCCAACCCCCUCCUCUCCCAGCCUCUCCAAAAUCGCAGGGAUGGUGAGAUAAAUACACCCGCCUGCAGAGACGAAGGGAUACUCAUGGACACCCAUGGACAUCCAUGGACAAGGGCAGAGGCACCCACACUUCUGCAUACAGCCACCUGCCUACACGCCUCCAAGCACGGCCACACGGAUGGACAGAGGGACACCCUGGAUGGAAAGCCUCCACGGGUGUGACGAUGCGAACAAACAAGCAGCCAGCCUCUGAGAGGCUCCUAGCAGCAGCCAGUGCUCUCCUGCAGGCUCCAGUUUCCCCAGUGCCUUCCCAAGAAACUUCCUAGAGGCAGCUGCAGUGAGGGAUGGGGUUAUCUCUGCCCCCUCACAGUCCUGCCUGAGCUACGUGGAAGGCUUGGGGCAAAACGCUUUUCCAUCAAAUUUUCUCCCUCUCCCCAGCUCCCUGCAAAAUCCUGUCCUUCCCAGUUAGGUGGCUGCAUGGGGAGUGCACAGAGAUGGGGAGAAGCCCCCUUGGCCAGUCCGAGCCUACACAGCAGCCCUCAGGAACAUCCUGCCCCCUAUCUCGGUGGCAAUGGGAAAACCCAUCUGCUAAAAGCCCAAACCUGAGCAGGGACAGCAGGAGCACGUUUUUGGCAUAUUUACACUCUAGCUCUUUGGGUCUACAGGGGAGGGGAGAGCUGAGGCCACAGCAGGGGCUCACCACAGCUAAGGUCCGGGCCACCCUGCUUGCAGAGCAGAAAGACAAUCCCCAAGCAGAAGAGGAAGGGCUGCGGGAGACAGGACUAGCAGUGGGAGCAGCACCCAGAAGUCAGGGGGAAGGCGAGGAGGGGGUGCUGGAGCUGCUGGGAGACAGCCAGCAGGCUCAGGAAGGGAACAAGGGAGAAGAUCAGAAAGGCAGCUCUCUCCUUCCCCACAGCCCCAAGCACCACUGAAAAUGUGUCCCGUGUAUUUCACACCUCUGCUUCUUUAUCCUCAGCUUUGGGCUUGGGGCAGAUUUCACAAAGAGAGGAGGGGGCAGCUGCACCCAGAGAAGCACAGGGCAGGAGUCCUGCAGGACCAACAAGCCAGUAGGAGCACAACCAAAACCAUCAUAGUGAAGUAACGUGCAUCCCUAAGCCUGAGAGCCCAACUGCAUGGCCCACGCUCCUGCCAGAAAACAACUCUCCAUUCAGAGCCCCCCCAUCUGCUUCCAAUAGACUAUUACAAAGGGAAUUAACCACACCACAGGCAACAAGAGCAGCAUGGCUCACGAGUACCUCUGGACAGGAAAGGUCUUCACAUAGAUCCUGUAAUGUCACGUGGAAACCAGGACUGGGGUGUGUGCACAUCUCACUUGAGCAACGACACUUAUUUCACAGCCAGCAGCCCUUCACCUCCCUGCUUUGAAAACAAGACAAUUUCUUCUGCACCCAGGACAUGCUUUCCUCCACCUGGUCUGAAGGUGUCCGUGCAAAUGAGUGACUAUGAGCAGACUAAUAAUUGCAGAGCUCAUGGUGAUAUUUGGAUGCCAGUGCCUGCCUUGAAGAAAAAAAAAAAAAAAAAAAGAAAAAAAAAAAAAAAAAAGCUGGAAACCAUUGGGUCCCUCCUACCCUACUAAAAAGCUCUCCAGGUAGACACAGAAUUAAUAGACUGAAUUCCACACCAUGUUCACUCAGUGAAGGUGCCUCAACCACUUCAUCAGAGAGAGGAGAAACGUUGGCCCUCUAAUUUGGGCCACUCAAGCCGAACACAACCUCAUGCAGAUGUGACUGCAGAGACUGUAAGAGGGAAUGAAAGCCCACAGAUCUGUUACCUGCUUGCUUACAGCACCAGGCACCAGAACAGAGGAGUAACAGCUCAAGGACACAAAUAUUUCCCUCUGUCAUAAGCUAUAUUUCUAUUUGCCCUGCCCAAAACAUUAGCCACCCAAGGAAGUCUAGCAAUUUCAACUAGAAAAAGAGAAACAAGGCCAUUCUGCUAUACUGGAACCUGUAAGGCUCCACUAGUAAAUAGCCAUGGCAGAAUUUUACUUUUCCUCUGCUUCCAAUUGCUUUAAAUUACUUAUUUUGGGGGAGUUUGGGGUUGCUCAACUAAAUACUGCAUUAGAGAGGACAAAUGAUUUAAGAACCAGGCUUGGCUGAUUUCUUUUUUUUCUCCAUCCUGGAGAUAAAAAGAAGGAACACAUUCUAGUAAUCCCUGCUCAUUUUCAUGGCCAUUCUUGCACCUGUAACUCAAAUAAUGAAGCCAUUUGUUAUUUAUAUUGCACUUUCCCCUCCAUUCUAGAUUUCUAACGAUCUGACCCUGUUUUAUGGCCCUGACAAAGCCUGAAACUGGUGUGGACUUCCAAUAAUUGAACGAUAUAGGGAAAAAUCUUUAGCUGGAAUGAAGCAGAUGUUAGCUUCAUGCAGUCCUCUAACUUGAU